GUUAUAUGGUCAAGCGACUAAGCGCACACGGUGGAUGCCUAGGCAGUUGGAGGCGAUGAAGGACGUAGGAGCCUGCGAAAAGGUCAGGGGAGCCGGCAAACAUGCUUUGAUCCUGACAUGUCCGAAUGGGGAAACCCACUCAGGGUAACCUGAGUAUCCUGUACUGAAUACAUAGGUACAGGAAGCGAACCCGGGGAACUGAAACAUCUAAGUACCCGGAGGAAAAGAAAUCAACCGAGAUUCCCUCAGUAGCGGCGAGCGAAAGGGGACCAGCCCUUAAGUGGUUUUGGUUUUAGUGGAACGCUCUGGAAAGUGCGGCGAUACAGGGUGAUAGCCCCGUACACGAAAAGGCCUUAAUCAUGAAAACGAGUAGGACGGGACACGUGUUAUCCUGUCUGAAUAUGGGGGGACCAUCCUCCAAGGCUAAAUACUCCCAACUGACCGAUAGUGAACCAGUACCGUGAGGGAAAGGCGAAAAGAACCCCUGUGAGGGGAGUGAAAUAGAUCCUGAAACCGUGUGCGUACAAGCAGUAGGAGCAGACUUGUUCUGUGACUGCGUACCUUUUGUAUAAUGGGUCAGCGACUUAUUGUCAGUGGCAAGGUUAACCGAAUAGGGGAGCCGUAGCGAAAGCGAGUCUUAAUAGGGCGUUCAGUCGCUGGCAAUAGACCCGAAACCCGGCGAUCUAUCCAUGGGCAGGUUGAAGGUGAGGUAACACUUACUGGAGGACCGAACCCACGUCUGUUGAAAAAGACGGGGAUGACCUGUGGAUCGGAGUGAAAGGCUAAUCAAGCCGGGAGAUAGCUGGUUCUCCCCGAAAACUAUUUAGGUAGUGCGUCAUGUCUCACCCGCGGGGGUAGAGCACUGUUUGGGCUAGGGGGUCAUCCCGACUUACCAACCCCAUGCAAACUACGAAUACCGCGGAGUGCAAUCAUGGCAGACACACGGCGGGUGCUAACGUCCGUCGUGAAGAGGGAAACAACCCAGACCGCCAGCUAAGGUCCCAAAUGCCAGUUAAGUGGGAAACGAUGUGGGAAGGCUUAGACAGCUAGGAGGUUGGCUUAGAAGCAGCCACCCUUUAAAGAAAGCGUAAUAGCUCACUAGUCGAGUCGGCCUGCGCGGAAGAUGUAACGGGGCUAAAACUGGCAACCGAAGCUGCGGAUGCGUGCUUGCACGCAUGGUAGGGGAGCGUUCUGUAAGCCGUUGAAGGUGAGUUGAGAAGCUUGCUGGAGGUAUCAGAAGUGCGAAUGCUGACAUAAGUAACGAUAAGGGGAGUGAAAAACUCCCCCGCCGGAAGACCAAGGGUUCCUGUCCAACGUUAAUCGGGACAGGGUUAGUCGGCCCCUAAGGCGAGGCCGAAAGGCGUAGUCGAUGGAAAACAGGUUAAUAUUCCUGUACCGCUUUUUACUGCGAUGGGGGGACGGAGAAGGCUAGAUCAGCACGGCGUUGGUUGUCCGUGUUUAAGGUGGUAGGCUGAUAUCUCAGGCAAAUCCGGGAUAUCAAGGCCGAGAACUGAUGACGAGUGUUCCUCGGAACAUGAAGUGAUUGAUGCCAUGCUUCCAAGAAAAGCCUCUAAGCUUCAGGUAAAAAGAGACCGUACUCCAAACCGACACAGGUGGUCAGGUAGAGAAUACCAAGGCGCUUGAGAGAACUCGGGUGAAGGAACUAGGCAAAAUGGCACCGUAACUUCGGGAGAAGGUGCACCGGUUUUGGUGAUGGGACUUGCUCCCUGAGCUGAGGCCGGUCGAAGAUACCAGGCCCCUGCAACUGUUUAUUAAAAACACAGCACUCUGCAAACACGUAAGUGGACGUAUAGGGUGUGACGCCUGCCCGGUGCCGGAAGGUUAAUUGAUGGGGUUAGCGCAAGCGAAGCUCUUGAUCGAAGCCCCGGUAAACGGCGGCCGUAACUAUAACGGUCCUAAGGUAGCGAAAUUCCUUGUCGGGUAAGUUCCGACCUGCACGAAUGGCGUAAUGAUGGGGGCGCUGUCUCCACCCGAGACUCAGUGAAAUUGAAAUCGCGGUUAAGAUGCCGUGUACCCGCGGCUAGACGGAAAGACCCCGUGAACCUUUACUGUAGCUUUGCACUGAACUUUGAACCUGUCUGUGUAGGAUAGGUGGGAGGCUUUGAAGUUAAGACGCCAGUCUUAAUGGAGCCGUCCUUGAAAUACCACCCUGGUAUGUUUGAGGUUCUAACGUCGGCCCGUAAUCCGGGCUACGGACAGUGUAUGGUGGGCAGUUUGACUGGGGCGGUCUCCUCCCAAAGAGUAACGGAGGAGCACGAAGGUGUGCUAAUCAUGGUCGGAAAUCAUGAGGUUAGUGUAAAGGCAAAAGCACGCUUGACUGCGAGACAGACAUGUCGAGCAGGUACGAAAGUAGGUCUUAGUGAUCCGGUGGUUCUGUAUGGAAGGGCCAUCGCUCAACGGAUAAAAGGUACUCCGGGGAUAACAGGCUGAUACCGCCCAAGAGUUCACAUCGACGGCGGUGUUUGGCACCUCGAUGUCGGCUCAUCACAUCCUGGGGCUGAAGCCGGUCCCAAGGGUAUGGCUGUUCGCCAUUUAAAGUGGUACGCGAGCUGGGUUUAGAACGUCGUGAGACAGUUCGGUCCCUAUCUGCCGUGGGCGUUGGAGAUUUGAGAAGAGUUGUUCCUAGUACGAGAGGACCGGAAUGAACGCACCUCUGGUGUUCGGGUUGUCAUGCCAAUGGCAUUGCCCGGUAGCUAUGUGCGGACGGGAUAACCGCUGAAAGCAUCUAAGCGGGAAGCCUCCUUCAAGAUAAGAUCUCCCCGGGGCCUUGAGCCCCCUGAAGAGCCGUUGAAGACUACGACGUUGAUAGGCUGGGUGUGGAAGCGCUGUGAGGCGUUGAGCUAACCAGUACUAAUUGCUCGUGCGGCUUGACCAUAUAACAGA
Molecule: ribosomal RNA, 2904 nt
Filed under: Cellvibrio polysaccharolyticus
Lineage: Bacteria; Pseudomonadati; Pseudomonadota; Gammaproteobacteria; Cellvibrionales; Cellvibrionaceae
Description: Cellvibrio sp. KB43 23S ribosomal RNA
Rfam family: Bacterial large subunit ribosomal RNA
Source: RNAcentral